This 465-nucleotide ribosomal RNA is filed under the name Vreelandella stevensii. Its description in RNAcentral is "partial 16S ribosomal RNA". It matches the Rfam family "Bacterial small subunit ribosomal RNA", at positions 338 to 795 of the family's 1533-position model. The record is from RNAcentral. Lineage: Bacteria; Pseudomonadati; Pseudomonadota; Gammaproteobacteria; Oceanospirillales; Halomonadaceae.
CCUACGGGUGGCAGCAGUGGGGAAUAUUGGACAAUGGGGGCAACCCUGAUCCAGCCAUGCCGCGUGUGUGAAGAAGGCCCUCGGGUUGUAAAGCACUUUCAGUGAGGAAGAACGCCUGGUGGUUAAUACCCAUCAGGAAAGACAUCACUCACAGAAGAAGCACCGGCUAACUCCGUGCCAGCAGCCGCGGUAAUACGGAGGGUGCGAGCGUUAAUCGGAAUUACUGGGCGUAAAGCGCGCGUAGGUGGCUUGAUAAGCCGGUUGUGAAAGCCCCGGGCUCAACCUGGGAACGGCAUCCGGAACUGUCCAGCUAGAGUGCAGGAGAGGAAGGUAGAAUUCCCGGUGUAGCGGUGAAAUGCGUAGAGAUCGGGAGGAAUACCAGUGGCGAAGGCGGCCUUCUGGACUGACACUGACACUGAGGUGCGAAAGCGUGGGUAGCAAACAGGAUUAGAUACCCUGGUAGUC